UGGGGAAUAUUGGACAAUGGGCGCAAGCCUGAUCCAGCCAUGCCGCGUGAGUGAUGAAGGCCCUAGGGUUGAAAAGCUCUUUCACCGGUGAAGAUAACGACGGUAACCGGAGAAGAAGCCCCGGCUAACUUCGUGCCAGCAGCCGCGGUAAUACGAAGGGGGCCAGCGUUGUUCGGAUUUACUGGGCGUAAAGCGCACGUAGGCGGGCUUUUAAGUCAGGGGUGGAAUCACGGGGCUCAACCCCGGUACUGCCUUUGAUACUGGAAGACUUGAAUAUGGUAGAGGUGUGUUGAAUAACGAGUUUAGAAGUGAAAUUCGUAGGUAUUCGGAGGAACACCAGUGGCGAAGGCGGCUCACUGGGCCAUUGCUGACGCUGCGGUGCGAAAGCGUGGGGGGCAAACAGG
RNAcentral lists this ribosomal RNA (404 nucleotides) under Actinomycetes bacterium. RNAcentral's name for it is "Actinobacteria bacterium partial 16S ribosomal RNA". It matches the Rfam family "Bacterial small subunit ribosomal RNA", at positions 355 to 776 of the family's 1533-position model. The record is from RNAcentral. Lineage: Bacteria; Bacillati; Actinomycetota; Actinomycetes.